This 439-nucleotide ribosomal RNA is filed under the name uncultured bacterium. RNAcentral describes it as "partial 16S ribosomal RNA". It matches the Rfam family "Bacterial small subunit ribosomal RNA", at positions 29 to 507 of the family's 1533-position model. The record is from RNAcentral.
AACGAACGCUGGCGGCAUGCCUAACACAUGCAAGUCGAACGAGACCUUCGGGUCUAGUGUCGAACGGGUGCGUAACGCGUGGGAACCUGCCCUUAGGUUCGGAAUAACUCCCCGAAAGGGGUGCUAAUACCGGAUAAUGUCUUCGGACCAAAGAUUUAUCGCCUUUGGAUGGACCCGCGUUGGAUUAGCUAGUUGGUAGGGUAAAAGCCUACCAAGGCGACGAUCCAUAGCUGGUCUGAGAGGAUGAUCAGCCACACUGGGACUGAGAGACGGCCCAGACACCUACGGGAGGCAGCAGGGGGGAAUAGUGAACAAGGGGCGCAAGACUGAUGCAGCAACGUCUCGUGCGGGAUGACUGACUUCGGGUGGUAAACCGUGUUCAGCAGGGACGAAGCUUUUUGUGACGGGACCUGCAGAAGAAGCAGGGGCUAACUACGUG